This is a long non-coding RNA of Vespa mandarinia (Asian giant hornet), 153 nucleotides long. Lineage: Eukaryota; Metazoa; Arthropoda; Insecta; Hymenoptera; Vespidae. The record is from RefSeq and is a predicted model, not a curated record.
GAAGAAAAUAAUAAAAAUCCAAUAUUCAAGAAAAGACUGGCUCUGCUAGACCUACUCAUAGCCGCUUCUCUGAAUGAUAAUCAACUAGAUGAAGAAGGAAUUCGAGAAGAAUUCGAAACUUUUAUGUUUACGGGUCACGAUACUACGUCAAUG